This 397-nucleotide long non-coding RNA is filed under the name Homo sapiens (human). RNAcentral describes it as "HSALNT0403737". The record is from RNAcentral. Lineage: Eukaryota; Metazoa; Chordata; Mammalia; Primates; Hominidae.
GUUCUUUUGCUGUUUGUAAUAAAUCUUGCUGCAGCUAACUUUUUGGGUCUGCGCCGCUUUUAUGAGCUGUAAUACUCACCGCGAAGGUCUGCAGCUUCACUCCUGAGGCCAGCAAGACCAUGAACCCACCGGAAGGAACGAAACUCCAGACGUGCAGCCUUUAAGAGCUGUAACACUCACCGUGAAGGUCUGCAGCUUCGCUCCUGAAGUCAGCGAGACCACGAAACCACCAGAAGGAACAAACUCCAGACACACCAUCUUUAAGAACUGUAACACUCACCGCGGGGGUCUGCUGCUUCAUUCUUGAAGUCAGUGAGACGAAGAAGCCACCAAUUCCGGACGCACUACAACAUGAAUGAAUCUCAAAAAUAUUAUGCACUACUUUUAAGAGCUGUAA